CUCCCCCAAAGUUGGUUCUCUCUUCACAAGUUCCAUAACUACCCAAGACGCGCGGGGGCGGGACAGGUGGGAACGCAUUAACAACACUUAAAUCUGAAGUUGACAGCCAAAGGUACCAGUUUGGUGGGGAGACUUUCUCAAGCUCCCUUACACACUGCUCGGCGUUUGCUUUUGCCGCUGUACAUUUCAGCUCAUUUCUUUUUGCUGCUGCUGCUGCUGCUGCUUUGCGCUGCUCCGUCACGCCUUUAUCUCUUCGCUGCCAAAGGAGCCCGAAGCAGGAUAAAUUCCACGAGAUUCCCCAGCGGUUUCGUUCCUGUCCGAGGUCGCGCAGCGGAUCCACUGACUAGCGCCAAUAUCAAGAGGCAAGGAGGUGCCACCCAGGGCGGCGCUGGAAGUGGAGCGGGAGGAGGAGCGCGGAGACCUGCGUCCCUACCCGCCGUGCGUACUUUCUGGAGGGAAGGGCGGGGGAAUUAGCCCCGGGAGGGGGACGCUUGGUGGCAAGGGGGUUAUUAGCCAAGUUCCGGCUGCGGUGGUCCCCCUGGGCUCCCACAAGAGGAAAGUUUUCUCCAGACGUUUCCGGCCGGCUCGCUCCCUCCGGGCCCAGCCUCCUGAGCCUUCGGAGCGGGCGCCGUCCCAGCCCAGCU
RNAcentral lists this long non-coding RNA (644 nucleotides) under Urocitellus parryii (Arctic ground squirrel). RNAcentral's name for it is "lncRNA (ENSUPAG00010016089.1)". The record is from RNAcentral. Lineage: Eukaryota; Metazoa; Chordata; Mammalia; Rodentia; Sciuridae.